Hyaena hyaena (striped hyena) is the source of this 364-nucleotide long non-coding RNA. RefSeq lists it as uncharacterized. Lineage: Eukaryota; Metazoa; Chordata; Mammalia; Carnivora; Hyaenidae. The transcript is spliced from 2 exons. The record is from RefSeq and is a predicted model, not a curated record.
GAAGUUUUUCAGAUGCAGUACUGGAUCUUUCUGAACUUCUGGAUCAGCUCAUAAUAUCCAGUAAGAAGUAAUAUGCUGUGUAGUGAAGAACUGACUUUACCCAGAGAGGAGUCUGGUCGUUGCCCUUGGCCACAGGGAGGAUAUCUCUAGGAUCAUGGAAGGUUAUGCUUGAUAGGAAUGUCUUGGUUUGAGGGAAACUUUGUCCACUGCAGUCUAACAAUGUGAUGUAUGAUGGACACAUUGUGACACAUCAUAUAAAUCCCCACCUGCCAAGAACCUGAAGACUCAAGCCAUUAGCCGGAACCCCCAGGCUCAGCCACACAAGCAGUAUGCAACCAAAUCCGAAUAAACUGUGGACACCAAA